UAGCCGUAAACGAUACUCGCUAGGUGUCGGCCACGGUGCGACCGCUGUCGGUGCCGUAGGGAAGCCGUGAAGCGAGCCACCUGGGAAGUACGGCCGCAAGGCUGAAACUUAAAGGAAUUGGCGGGGGGAGCACCACAACGGGUGGAGCUUGCGGUUUAAUUGGAUUCAACGCCGGAAAUCUUACCGGGACCGACAGCAACAUGAAGGCCAGGCUGAAGACUUUGCCGGAUUAGCUGAGAGGAGGUGCAUGGCGUAGUCGUGU
RNAcentral lists this ribosomal RNA (262 nucleotides) under uncultured archaeon. Its description in RNAcentral is "partial 16S ribosomal RNA". It matches the Rfam family "Archaeal small subunit ribosomal RNA", at positions 748 to 1009 of the family's 1478-position model. The record is from RNAcentral.